GUCCAGUGAUGACCUUAAAUUAGAGCCACGUGUUUGGGCCACUGACCUAAGUGAUGGGACUGAGGAACUGAGGAG
Toxotes jaculatrix (banded archerfish) is the source of this 75-nucleotide small nucleolar RNA. RefSeq annotates it as small nucleolar RNA SNORD66. The record is from RefSeq and is a predicted model, not a curated record. Lineage: Eukaryota; Metazoa; Chordata; Actinopteri; Toxotidae. The transcript has a single exon.